This 158-nucleotide ribosomal RNA is filed under the name uncultured bacterium. RNAcentral's name for it is "partial 16S ribosomal RNA". It matches the Rfam family "Bacterial small subunit ribosomal RNA", at positions 1342 to 1500 of the family's 1533-position model. The record is from RNAcentral.
UGGCAGGUCAGCAUACUGCCGUGAAUACGUUCCCGGGCCUUGUACACACCGCCCGUCACACCAUGAGAGUUGGGAAUACCCGAAGCCUGUGAGCUAACUUUUAGAGGCAGCAGUCGAAGGUAGAAUCAAUGAUUGGGGUGAAGUCGUAACAAGGUAUC